CCAUUAAAAUGCCAUGAACUCUUCUUCACUCAAUCACUAGGCAGCGCACAAGAUUUCUCCACCUUCUUCUCUGACGAUCCGACACCGUCCCCUUCAUCUCAAUCGUCAAUCCACAGCCCAAGCCGCCUGAGAUCUCACUUUUUAUCCGGUGAAGCGCCACUCUCCUCCGUCUUUGAUCUUGUUUCCUUCUCUGACACCACAACCAUUGUCUCACUGGUCUUUAUCGAUUCAAAUCACUUUCUCAAAAUCUAUAAUGCGAACGAAGAAUAUUGUGGUAUGACGAAAUUGAUGAAGAACAGAGAGAGAUCAAAACCUACCAUCUAG
This is a non-coding RNA of Vicia faba (fava bean), 324 nucleotides long. Lineage: Eukaryota; Viridiplantae; Streptophyta; Magnoliopsida; Fabales; Fabaceae. The record is from the annotation of a GenBank genome assembly.